GAUGAAGAACGCAGCGAAAUGCGAUAAGUAAUGUGAAUUGCAGAAUUCAGUGAAUCAUCGAAUCUUUGAACGCACAUUGCGCCCGCCAGUAUUCUGGCGGGCAUGUCUGUUCGAGCGUCAUUUCAACCAUCAAGCCCCCGGCUUGUGUUGGGGACCUGCGGCUGCCGCAGGCCCUGAAAAGCAGUGGCGGGCUCGCUGUCACACCGAGCGUAGUAGCAUACAUCUCGCUCUGGGCGUGCUGCGGGUUCCGGCCGUUAAACCACCUUCAUAACCCAAGGUUGACCUCGGAUCAGGUAGGAAGACCCGCUGAACUUAAGCAUAUCAAUAAGCGGAGGA
This 336-nucleotide unclassified non-coding RNA is filed under the name soil metagenome. Its description in RNAcentral is "partial contains 5.8S ribosomal RNA, internal transcribed spacer 2, and large subunit ribosomal RNA". The stretch from base 1 to 120 matches the Rfam family "5.8S ribosomal RNA", at positions 35 to 154 of the family's 154-position model. The record is from RNAcentral.